RNAcentral lists this ribosomal RNA (507 nucleotides) under uncultured bacterium. RNAcentral's name for it is "partial 16S ribosomal RNA". It matches the Rfam family "Bacterial small subunit ribosomal RNA", at positions 28 to 507 of the family's 1533-position model. The record is from RNAcentral.
GGCGAACGCUGGCGGCGUGCCUAAUACAUGCAAGUCGAACGCAUGUUCUGUCACCGUUUCUUGCUACACCGAAAGAAAAUGAGUGGCGAACGGGUGAGUAACACGUGGGUAACUUGCCCAUCAGCGGGGGAUAACACUUGGAAACAGGUGCUAAUACCGCAUAAUUCCAUUUACCGCAUGGCAGAUGGGUGAAAGGCGCUUUUGCGGCACUUGUGGAUGUACCUGGUGUGCGUUGGGUAGGUGGGGGGGUAAGGGCCUACCCAGGCGGCGAUGCAUAACCGACCUGGAGGGGUGGACGGGCCCACUGGGACUGAGACCCGGCCCCGACUCCCACGGGAAGCAGCAGUAGGGAAUCAUCGGCAAUGGACGCAAGUCUUACCGCGCAACGCCGCGGUAGUGAAGAAGGUUUUCGGAUCGUAAAACUCUGUUGUUAGAGAAGAAAAAGCAGGAGAGUGGAAAGUUCCUCCCUUGACGGUAUCUAACCAGAAAGCCACGGCUAACUACGUG